This 468-nucleotide ribosomal RNA is filed under the name uncultured Alphaproteobacteria bacterium. Its description in RNAcentral is "bacterial SSU rRNA". It matches the Rfam family "Bacterial small subunit ribosomal RNA", at positions 9 to 524 of the family's 1533-position model. The record is from RNAcentral. Lineage: Bacteria; Pseudomonadati; Pseudomonadota; Alphaproteobacteria.
GAGUUUGAUCCUGGCUCAGAGCGAACGCUGGCGGCAGGCCUAACACAUGCAAGUCGAACGGAUCCUUCGGGAUUAGUGGCGGACGGGUGAGUAACACGUGGGAACGUGCCCUUUGGUUCGGAACAACUCAGGGAAACUUGAGCUAAUACCGGAUGUGCCCUUCGGGGAAAGAUUUAUCGCCAUUGGAGCGGCCCGCGUCUGAUUAGCUAGUUGGUGAGGUAAAGGCUCACCAAGGCGACGAUCAGUAGCUGGUCUGAGAGGAUGAUCAGCCACAUUGGGACUGAGACACGGCCCAAACUCCUACGGGAGGCAGCAGUGGGGAAUCUUGCGCAAUGGGCGAAAGCCUGACGCAGCCAUGCCGCGUGAAUGAUGAAGGUCUUAGGAUUGUAAAAUUCUUUCACCGGGGACGAUAAUGACGGCACCCGGAGAAGAAGCCCCGGCUAACUUCGUGCCAGCCGCCGCGGUAAC